GCGUGAGUACAGUGUGAGUGUAGAUUAUAUUGUGAGUACAGUGUGAGUGUAGAGUACGUCGUGAGUACAGUGUGAGUGUAGAUUAUGUUGUGAGUACAGUGUGAGUGUAGAUUACAGCGUGAGUACAGUGUGAGUGUAGAUUACAGCGUGAGUACAGUGUGAGUAUUAUGUUGUGAGUACAUGUGACGUGUAGAGUACAGUCUGAUUACAGCGUGAGUACAGUGUGAGUGUAGAUUACAGCGUGAGUACAGUGUGAGUGUAGAGUACAGUCUGAUUACAGCGUGAGUACAGUGUGAGUGUGAAUUACAGCGUGAGUACAGUGUGAGUGUAGAGUACAGUCUGAUUACAGCGUGAGUACGUUGUGAGUGUAGAUUACAGUGUGAGUACAGUGUGAGUACAGAUUAUAUGGUGAGUACAGUGUGAGUGUAGAGUACAGUCUGAUUACAGCGUGAGUACAGUGUGUGAGUAGAGUACAGUGUGAUUACAGCGUGCAUGUAGAGUACAGUCUGAUUACAGCGUGAGUACAGGCGCAGCGAGAGGCGGAGGUUCAGGUGGAAUGCGAGGGCAGUGGGGCGAUGGGGUGAGAUUAGUCCCUGCAGAUGGAAAUGGGAUGGAAAUGGGCGAGUGGGAGAAAGAUGAAAUAGAACGGAACCGAGUGAGAACAAAGAGGCAGAGAACCUCAAACAUAACAUCUGUUAUCUUUUCUUUUUGUCUCUCAAGGUUUGAACUUCAGCAGAACAGAUCACAAAAUCAAGCCUCUGUAACCCCUUACCUAACACCCCCCCCCCCCCCCCAAUGACCUGGGUGUGUGUGUGUGUGUGUGUGUGUGUGUGUGUGUGUGUGUGUUAGAGAGAGAACUGGCACUGACUUUCUUUCAUUCAGACUUGUUUAAACCUGUUAGUUGCAAAUGAAACAUGAUCACAGCCUCUAUUACCUUCUGCCAAAGUGUGUGUGUGUGUGUGUGUGUGUGUGUGUGUGUGUGUGUGUUAUAGUAACAGCUGUUCUUCAGGGUCUGGCUUUAAGGGUUUUUCAAGACAGGAGUGUGUGAGUGUGUGAGUGUGUGAGUGUGUGAGUGUGUGAGUGUGUGAGUGUGUGAGUGUGUGAGUUGUUGAUAGGCAUCAUGAGCCAUUCUGGAUAAACAGAGGUUUAGGGGACUUUCCUCUUCAGCUCACAUUCCAAGACAGGAACGGACAGAACUCGGGUUCUAGUUCAUUUUCAAACAACUUGAGACGCCGCUGGAAAGGUUGCCAUGACAACGGUAUCGUGGCACUAGUAUCAUCCUUGCGUCACAAUCGCACAAUUGCAGAAACAUGGAAGAAGGUUUCGAGUUAACAUUGUUGCUUUAACUAUGCUUGUAGCUGUAAAAGUAGGCGGGGUUUAUCGGGAGGCUUGUGGGUGGAGACGAAUAAUGAAUGAAUGAAUGAAUGAAUAAAGGAAAGGACAAUCUUGAUCAGUCCUAUCUGUCUGUCUCGGUCUCUCUCUCUCAGCAGUGUUUAAUUUCCUGUCUGAGAUCUGAUCGUUAUCUGACAGACUCGCCUUGGGAGGAAGUGAUGC
Ictalurus punctatus (channel catfish) is the source of this 1554-nucleotide long non-coding RNA. NCBI's taxonomy places the organism in Eukaryota, Metazoa, Chordata, Actinopteri, Siluriformes, Ictaluridae. The record is from Ensembl.